Molecule: long non-coding RNA, 575 nt
Filed under: Marmota monax (woodchuck)
Lineage: Eukaryota; Metazoa; Chordata; Mammalia; Rodentia; Sciuridae
Source: RNAcentral
GGUGGCUGUGCACGUGGCUGUCGGGCCCAGCGCGCGCCGCCGCCUCGGGUCUCUCCUUUCUCGGUUCCACGUCACAGUGGCUCAAGCCCUCCCCCACGCCGCCUCAUGGACCCCGGCUUUUCGCAGCCCUCUCCUCUACCAGCUCCCCAGCCUCACGCCUCAGCAACCCCGGGCCAGAGCCAUUCCCCUCCAGACUGAGUCACCAGCAGGAGCUCUCCCUUUCCAUGGGGACGGGACAGAACAGGACAUUGAUUGGGGCUGGGGUUGCAGCUCGGUGGUAGAGCGCUUGGCUAGCACGUGUGAGGCACUGGGCAUUGGCUUCCUGGAUUUCCUAACUGAUAAGGGAAGUUUAGGAAAGUCUUGUCAAAAAUAGAAACUGUGGGUAAGUGCUAUGGAGGAAAAAAUAAACUGAGGAAGUGACAUAUAAGAUAAUAUCUAAAGGACAAGAAGAAGCUGGUCAAAGGAACUGACAAGGGUCCUGAGGAGGUCGCCCAGAAGGAGGUGGACCUCAACUGAGACCUGGAGAGUCCUUGAUGUCGUCGCAAAGAAGGAAUUUGAGGACAGGUUAAAAUGAG